UUCAAAAAUUUUCUCCUCCCCGCGGCAUACCGUCACCAUCUCGUGCCAAUCUUUCUCAGAUGCUACCCUUCUCCCGCCGCCGCCGCACCAAUCUUCUCUCUUGCGCCCCAAAGCUCUCUCACCGCCCACAUCUAGUGCGCCGCCACCAAAGCUUCCCACAGUUGCCCCAACCCAUCCAAUGGUGGGGUGCCUCCCAAAUCCACGGCCCUCACUGGAUCUGCAAGCACCCCAAGCCUAGCACCACUCAGCCCUAGCUAUUCUUUGCCCCCAUCCCAAUUUCGUGAUCCCAAUCAGGCUGCCGUGGUGGAGAGAAGGACCUGCAGAGGAGGCAAGGAGAACCUUUUGGGGUGCUGCAGGAGGCAAGGGAGGUGCUGAUUUGGAUGCGAGAAGGACCUGCAGUGGAGGCAAGGAGAACCUGCGGCGGUGCUGAUGGCCUGCUGUUGUGUUGGCAAGAAGGAACUGACAAUACACUGCUGCAUGCUGCUGUGUUACUGGCAAGGAGCUGCUGCGUGCUGCGUGCUACUGAAUAAUGGCUCAAGCAAAGAUUUAGAUUUAGUCCAGCCAAAGAAGCUGAUUCAAAAGAACAUGUUGGAGUGUGUUGCUCAAGCCUCCUAGGGAGCAUCAUAUAUUAUGCAAGAAUUACUGCAACAAUUGAUCAUUUUCGUGAAGUGGAGAAAAGAAAAUUUUGUGAUAAAAUUGCUGGACAAUUCUACUUGACAUGGGAGGAAUAUGUUGCUCAAUGCCCUACUUGGUGCAAACAAAGUUGUUGGGAAGCUUUGUCUAGAGAGUGGAGCAGUCCAGAAUUCAAGCAAAGAUCUGAGACAAAUCGUGCAAAUCGCUACAGCCGUAAAUUUAAACCUCACAAGGAUGGAUCUAACUCUAUUGCAGCAAUAAAGCAAAAACUGGAUAGUGUCCAGUUUCUAAAAUUUUGCUCGUACUUUUUUACAGCAACACUAUUAAUUCAGAUUCUUUUUGUUAUAGUCGAAGAAAUUAGGAAGAGAAGUAUGUGAGAUCGAGGUAUGGGUCCAUACACAUAGAGGUUCAAAUCCUGAAGAUAUUACUUCACUGAACCCUGAAGAAGCAACUGCAUGCUUGGAUAAAUACAAAGCUAAUGCCAUUGAGUUAAAUGGACCAGAUUUUGAUUGGUUGUAUUCUCCAGUGGAUGCUAGAGCUCUUUAUGAAUGCGCUUGUGGUUGCCCACAUGGAAAAUGGGCCAUAUUUAAUGGGAUAAUCAAUGACAAAGAAGUCCUCUCUGACUUAAGGAGAAGUCGUGCCUAUGCAAUGGCUACUAGACAUCAACGCCAAGAGGAAGAUGAAUGAAUAAGGAUGGAAGCUCAUGAUGGUCGCGCGGCUAAGGAAUAUGCCCAAAAAUGUUGGAAUGGUGUAGAAUGGUGCAUGCUCACAAUGAGAACAUCCAAAAGCUUAUGGAGGCUUGUACUGGUGGCUCUUACGUUGGAAUAGAAACUUCUCAUGAAACCUUGACUAGAAUUGCUCUUGGAAGAUUCCGUGGCCAUUAAAAUGCAGCAACUACAAGUGGUGGUGGUACCUAUUCUCCACCGCAGGAAGAAUUUCCAUUCUUUUGACAUCUUUUGUUGCUAAAACAUGGCUUGGACAUGCAGGCAUGUUCUGUUGUCGUAAUAUGCAUGGACCAGAACUCCUUUUGGAUGAUCUAGUGUUUUAUUAUUCUGAGGCUUAGUUGCCGUAAUGUAUUAGUGAACAUCAUAACUGGAUUAUGUAUGUGUUAAUGAAUGCACGUAAUCAAUGCUCA
Sorghum bicolor (sorghum) is the source of this 1768-nucleotide long non-coding RNA. RefSeq lists it as uncharacterized. The transcript is spliced from 4 exons. The record is from RefSeq and is a predicted model, not a curated record. NCBI's taxonomy places the organism in Eukaryota, Viridiplantae, Streptophyta, Magnoliopsida, Poales, Poaceae.